UCGGGUCGUCAACGUUGUAUUUACUAGAAGACCUUUUUCGGAAGGUAUGCUUAAAGAGGGGCUUGCGUCACAUUAGUUAGUUGGCAGGGUAAAGGCCUACCAAGACUAUGAUGUGUAGCUGGACUGAGAGGUUGAACAGCCACAUUGGGACUGAGACACGGCCCAAACUCCUACGGGAGGCAGCAGUAGGGAAUUUUCGGCAAUGGAGGAAACUCUGACCGAGCAACGCCGCGUGAACGAUGAAGUAUUUCGGUAUGUAAAGUUCUUUUAUUGAAGAAGAAAAAAUAGUGGAAAAACUAUCUUGACGAUAUUCAAUGAAUAAGCCCCGGCAAACUAUGUGCCAGCAGCCGCGGUAAUACAUAGGGGGCGAGCGUUAUCCGGAAUUAUUGGGCGUAAAGGGUGCGUAGGCGGUUUAAUAAGUCUAUAAUUUAAUUUCAGUGCUUAACACUGUCCUGCUAUAGAAACUAUUAGACUAGAGUGAGAUAGAGGCAAGUGGAAUUCCAUGUGUAGCGGUAAAAUGCGUAAAUAUAUGGAGGAACACCAGAGGCGUAGGCGGCUUGCUGGGUCUUUACUGACGCUGAGGCACGAAAGCGUGGGGAGCAAACAGGAUUAGAUACCCUGGUAGUCCACGCCGUAAACGAUGAGUACUAAGUGUCGGGAUUACUCGGUACUGAAGUUAACACAUUAAGUACUCCGCCUGAGUAGUACGUACGCAAGUAUGAAACUUAAAGGAAUUGACGGGACUCCGCACAAGCGGUGGAUCAUGUUGUUUAAUUUGAAGAUACACGAAAAACCUUACCAGGUCUUGACAUACUCUGCAAAGCUAUAGCAAUAUAGUGGAGGUUAUCAGAGAUACAGGUGGUGCAUGGUUGUCGUCAGCUCGUGUCGUGAGAUGUUAGGUUAAGUCCUAAAACGAGCGCAACCCUUGUCAUUAGUUGCCAGCAUGUCAUGAUGGGCACUUUAAUGAGACUGCCAAUGAAAAAUUGGAGGAAGGUGAGGAUCACGUCAAAUCAUCAUGCCCCUUAUGAUCUGGGCUACAAACGUGAUACAAUGGCUGUUACAAAGAGUAGCUGAAACGCAAGUUUAUAGCCAAUCUCAUAAAAGCAGUCUCAGUUCUGAUUGAAGUCUGCAACUCGACUUCAUGAAGUUGGAAUCCGCUAGUAAUCGCGAAUCAGCAUUCGCGGGAAAUUUUUUGGG
RNAcentral lists this ribosomal RNA (1197 nucleotides) under Phytoplasma sp. RNAcentral describes it as "bacterial SSU rRNA". It matches the Rfam family "Bacterial small subunit ribosomal RNA", at positions 155 to 1378 of the family's 1533-position model. RNAcentral also lists the same sequence under 1 other name. The record is from RNAcentral. Lineage: Bacteria; Bacillati; Mycoplasmatota; Mollicutes; Acholeplasmatales; Acholeplasmataceae.